AUGGCUUCAGGUGCAGCCGCUCUCACUCGGAGGCUGGCCGCCGUCGCUGCUGCCCUCGCCCUGCUGGUCAUACCCUCCUUGGCACGCUGUCCGUCCCUUGGUCCGGCACCACCACCACCAGCGCAGGUGCCACCGCCACCACCGGAGGCGAUACCACCACCACCGGAGCAGGCGCCGCCACCACCACUAGAGGCAAUACCACCACCACCACCGGCACAGGCCCCACCGCCACCACCUGAGGCGACACCACCACCACCACCGGAGGCGAUACCGCCAGCGCCCGUGCCGGAUCCACCUCGGCCAUGCAAUAUCUGUAGCAGAGAGUGCUACCCGGCGUGCACAGCGGCCAUAGCCUCUCUGCCGGAUUCCAAGGCCUGCGACGAGAAAUGCCAGAACGAGAAGAGCCGCUGCGACCAGUGCACGACCCCCAAGAUCGAGGAGUGCACGGCCAAAUGCAACGGCAGCUGUGACUGCCACACCGAACCCUACAAGUCAUGCAGCGACGACUGCCUCUUCCAAGAAUGCAGCCCCUGCUUGACCAUCCGCCGAUUUCAAAUAAAGGAUUGCAGGUACCAGUGCAACAUCGACUACUGCAACGGCAAUAAGUGCUGGUGA
Molecule: ribosomal RNA, 615 nt
Filed under: Triticum aestivum (bread wheat)
Lineage: Eukaryota; Viridiplantae; Streptophyta; Magnoliopsida; Poales; Poaceae
Description: partial small subunit ribosomal RNA
Source: RNAcentral